This 253-nucleotide ribosomal RNA is filed under the name uncultured bacterium. RNAcentral's name for it is "partial 16S ribosomal RNA". It matches the Rfam family "Bacterial small subunit ribosomal RNA", at positions 524 to 776 of the family's 1533-position model. The record is from RNAcentral.
UACGGAGGGUGCAAGCAUUAAUCGGAUUUAUUGGGCGUAAAGGGCGCGUAGGCGGGGAUGUAAGUCAGAUGUGAAAUCCCGGGGCUCAACCCCGGAACAGCAUUUGAAACUGCAUUUCUUGAGGGUAGGAGGAGAAAACGGAAUUCCACAUGUAGCGGUGAAAUGCGUAGAUAUGUGGAAGAACACCAGUGGCGAAGGCGGUUUUCUAUCUUAUUCCUGACGCUAAAGCGCGAAAGCAAGGGGAUCAAACAGG